This 253-nucleotide ribosomal RNA is filed under the name uncultured bacterium. Its description in RNAcentral is "partial 16S ribosomal RNA". It matches the Rfam family "Bacterial small subunit ribosomal RNA", at positions 524 to 776 of the family's 1533-position model. The record is from RNAcentral.
UACGGAGGGUGCAAGCGUUGUUCGGAUUUAUUGGGCGUAAAGCGCGUGUAGGCGGUUUCUUAAGUCUGAUGUGAAAGCCCUGGGCUCAACCCAGGAAGUGCAUUGGAUACUGGGAGACUUGAAUACGGGAGCGGGUAGUGGAAUUCCUAGUGUAGGAGUGAAAUCCGUAGAUAUUAGGAGGAACACCGGUGGCGAAGGCGGCUACCUGGACCGAUAUUGACGCUGAGACGCGAAAGCGUGGGGAGCAAACAGG